Small nucleolar RNA from Arvicanthis niloticus (Nile rat), 143 nucleotides. RefSeq annotates it as small nucleolar RNA SNORA48. The record is from RefSeq and is a predicted model, not a curated record. Lineage: Eukaryota; Metazoa; Chordata; Mammalia; Rodentia; Muridae.
UCCCCCUGGCAAUGGGCAAAGGGAUGCCUUGUUGGUAGUCUUGGUUUUCUAUCAGUCAGGACAGAGCAGUUGUCAGUUCUUUGUUCAUCCUAGCUUGAUGCCUGGCUUGGUGGUCAAAGCUGCUUUAGGCCUAGGACACAUUA